UACGUAGGGGGCAAGCGUUGUCCGGAUUUAUUGGGCGUAAAGCGCUCGCAGGUGGUUCGUCGCGUCGUGCGUGAAAGACCCCGGCUCAACUGGGGAGGGUCGUGCGAUACGGGCGGACUGGAGGCCAGUAGGGGGAUGCGGAAUUCCGGGUGUAGUGGUGGAAUGCGUAGAGAUCCGGAGGAACACCAGCGGCGAAGGCGGCAUCCUGGACUGGGCCUGACACUCAUGAGCGAAAGCGUGGGGAGCGAUCCGG
Molecule: ribosomal RNA, 253 nt
Filed under: uncultured bacterium
Lineage: Bacteria
Description: partial 16S ribosomal RNA
Rfam family: Bacterial small subunit ribosomal RNA
Source: RNAcentral